Molecule: ribosomal RNA, 631 nt
Filed under: uncultured Clostridiaceae bacterium
Lineage: Bacteria; Bacillati; Bacillota; Clostridia; Eubacteriales; Clostridiaceae
Description: bacterial SSU rRNA
Rfam family: Bacterial small subunit ribosomal RNA
Source: RNAcentral
CAAGUAGUAAUACGAGGAUGUUUUAGCGGCGGACGGGUGAGUAACGCGUGAGCAACCUGUCCCAAACAGGGGGAUAACGAACCGAAAGGUUCACUAAUACCGCAUAAGACCACAGAGUCACAUGGCUCAGGGGUCAAAGGAGCAAUCCGGUUUGGGGUGGGCUCGCGUCUGAUUAGCUAGUUGGUGGGGUAACGGCCUACCAAGGCGACGAUCAGUAGCCGACCUGAGAGGGUGAUCGGCCACGUUGGAACUGAGACACGGUCCAAACUCCUACGGGAGGCAGCAGUGGGGAAUAUUGGGCAAUGGGCGAAAGCCUGACCCUGCAACGCCGCGUGAAGGAAGAAGGUUUUCGGAUCGUAAACUUCUAUCCUUGGUGAAGAUAAUGACGGUAGCCAAGAAGGAGGCCCCGGCUAACUACGUGCCAGCAGCCGCGGUAAUACGUAGGGGGCAAGCGUUGUCCGGAAUGAUUGGGCGUAAAGGGCGCGUAGGCGGCCCGGUAAGUCUGGAGUGAAAGUCCUGCUUUUAAGGUGGGAAUUGCUUUGGAUACUGCUGGGCUUGAGUGCAGGAGAGGUAAGUGGAAUUCCCGGUGUAGCGGUGAAAUGCGUAGAGAUCGGGAGGAACACCAGUGGCG